GAUGAACGCUGGCGGCGUGCUUAACACAUGCAAGUCGAACGAUGACCCCGUGCUUGCACGGGUGAUUAGUGGCGAACGGGUGAGUAACACGUGAGUAACCUGCCCCCGACUUUGGGAUAAGCCCGGGAAACUGGGUCUAAUACCGGAUAUGACUUCUUACCGCAUGGUGGGUUGUUGAAAGAUUUAUCGGUGGGGGAUGGACUCGCGGCCUAUCAGCUUGUUGGUGAGGUAAUGGCUCACCAAGGCGACGACGGGUAGCCGGCCUGAGAGGGUGACCGGCCACACUGGGACUGAGACACGGCCCAG
This 306-nucleotide ribosomal RNA is filed under the name uncultured bacterium. RNAcentral's name for it is "bacterial SSU rRNA". It matches the Rfam family "Bacterial small subunit ribosomal RNA", at positions 28 to 334 of the family's 1533-position model. The record is from RNAcentral.